UGAGUUUAUGCAUUAAACAGUUUAUGGGUGUC
RNAcentral lists this non-coding RNA (32 nucleotides) under Mus musculus (house mouse). The record is from RNAcentral. Lineage: Eukaryota; Metazoa; Chordata; Mammalia; Rodentia; Muridae.